UUGACUUUGUUAAAAUUUUGA
Caenorhabditis elegans is the source of this 21-nucleotide non-coding RNA. The record is from Ensembl. NCBI's taxonomy places the organism in Eukaryota, Metazoa, Nematoda, Chromadorea, Rhabditida, Rhabditidae.